UCAUAGCUCAGUUGGUAGAACACAAGACACUGAAUCUCAGGGUUGUGGGUUCAAGCCCUAUAUUGGGCAAAA
Molecule: non-coding RNA, 72 nt
Organism: Podarcis lilfordi (Lilford's wall lizard)
Lineage: Eukaryota; Metazoa; Chordata; Lepidosauria; Squamata; Lacertidae
Source: the annotation of a GenBank genome assembly